Heteronotia binoei (common prickly gecko) is the source of this 2989-nucleotide RNA transcript. It is a transcript of the gene named sestrin-1-like, with no coding region annotated. NCBI's taxonomy places the organism in Eukaryota, Metazoa, Chordata, Lepidosauria, Squamata, Gekkonidae. The record is from RefSeq and is a predicted model, not a curated record. The transcript has 10 exons.
GCUUGACUCUGGCUGGGCUGUCCGGACUUGCGAGCUUCGCCGGUUAGUUGCAGCUCCGAGGUCGGUAGUUGGUGCUAUCUAUGUAGGGAAGGGGGGGUAACCCGGCAGGCCAGUGAAAAUGAUCCUCUGCCCCCAGAGCACGGAGCAUCCCCGGGGAAAACAGUGCCAGAGGCUGCAGGUGGCGAAGAUGAGUACCAGUGACAAGGAGCGAACUCCCCAGUUGCUCUUUGUGAAAGCCUUGGCCAGCAGGGGGCGCCUUGAGGCCAUCACACAGCAGAUGGGCUACCACCCGCAGUAUCUGGACAGUUUCCUCCGGAUGCAACAUUAUCUGCUGCACAUGGAUGGCCCCUUGCCCUUUGACUGCCGCCACUACAUUGCAAUCAUGGCAGCUGCCCGGCACCGGUGUCGGUAUCUGGUGAAUCUACAUGUGCUGCAGUUCCUGCGGGUUGGCGGUGACCCUCAGUGGCUGAGGGGGCUGGAUUGCAUCCCCCCCAAACUCCGCAAGCUCAGCGAGAUUAACAAGAUCUUGGCACACCGGCCGUGGCUUGUAGGCAAGGAGCACAUAGAGAAGCUGCUGAAGAUCAGCGAACAGAGCUGGUCCCUGGCAGAGCUAGUCCACGCAGUCGUGCUUCUCGCUCACUACCACGCACUGGCCAGCUUCGCUUUUGGCUGUGGCUGUGAACAGGACAUGUGUCCAGAGGGAAGGGGCUUGUUGAAGCUCACCGUCCCAGGGAGCCUCUGCUUCUGCGAAGUGGGCAACGGCUACAGCCAGGAUCUGCUGCAUCUCAACCGCAAGCGGUCGCUGGAUUCAUGUGUGGAGCUGGAGUCUCUAAGAGAGCGCAUUCACAGGCUGCAGGUGGAGAGUGAGACCCAGGAAGAGAUGAGGCUGCCUGAGAGGGAAGAAGGUUUGGAUGGAGAAAUUUUGGGCCCUGCAGAUCUCUCCUGCUACGUUCAGGACCCCAGCUUUGGAUACCAGGACUUUGCUCAGCGUGACGAGAACCAGACCCAGAUAUUCCGUGUCCAGGAUUACUCCUGGGAAGAUCAUGGCUUCUCUCUGGUGAACAGGCUGUACUCGGACAUUGGGUAUCUGCUAGAUGAGAAGUUCCGGAAGGUCGAUGGCCUCCAGAGCUGUGCAAUGGCCAAGCGGCAGGGCUGUGAUCAUGCCACAUUCAAGCGUGGGAUUUGGAACUAUAUCCACUGCAUGUUUGGCAUCAGGUAUGAUGAUUAUGACUACACAGAAGUGAAUCAUCUCCUGGAGCGCAUUCUCAAGCUCUACAUAAAAACUGUGACCUGCUCCCCAGAGAAGAUGAAUCCUGAGAUGUUUGAACGCUUCUGGAAACAGUUCAAGCACAGUGAAAAGGUAAAGUUCAAUUCAGGAGUGCUGCAGUUACUACAAGCAAAUGGGAACUAAGGAGGGAAUCAGCUGUAAAUCAAAGGAGCAAAAUUUCAUCCGCAGUUACCUUGGCUGCAAAGAGAAAAGCAGUCCAUAUGAACCUUCUCAUCCUGGAGGCCAGGCUUCAAGCUGAAUUGCUGUAUGCUCUUCGUGCGAUCACUCACUACAUGGUCUCCUAGAAGGGGUGCUGGUGGGACCCCUUUGGGGCUGAGGACUCAUGCACCAUGGCAUUCACCCACCAUGUUUACUUGACAGCAUUCCCUUCCCUUGUGGGGUGUGAGGAGAGAGAAACUCCCCUCCAUUUUCAUGUGCAAUUUCCAAACUGGGACUCUGGGGAAAGAUAACUCUCAAAGGUUGUGUGUGCAAGACAUUUGUGUCCAGUUUGGCAAUGUGGGAAGUUGGGCUCCCCUCCCUUCUGUCCAUCCCUAUGGGCAGCUUGGUCUGCCGAAGAGAGUGGCUGGCCACAAUUUGACCCCCCCCCCCUUUCUCUGCACAGGGCAAAGUAGCCAGAGCCACCUCUUCCAUCCUUGAUCCAGCUGCAGGAGCUCUGUCUGCUAAAACAUCCAUUACAGUAUUAGGUGGGCCUGUCCCUGCCUCCUCAUGCCAUUCUUGUCCCUUCUUAUUGUGCCAACUUAACCCACAUUGGGAAUGGCUCAGCUUGCUCUUGGGCACUCUCAUGUUGGGUAAGGUGGGAGGAAAAGGUGGUGUGACUUAUGGCUUCUUGGAAAGGUUCUGGUCAGCCUUCUUCUUGGUCUUUAUUUUGGUCUAAAAGAGGGUAUGUAUAUGUAUGUGUGGAGGAAGUAUGUAGAACUCUUUGCUUGCAGGAGCUCCUGCCUGUCACUCUGCAGUUCUCUCCCUGGUUAGAGCCUUCCCACUUGUCCUCCUCACUAGCUGUUUUCUCUGGCCAAAGUCCCCUGCCUGCUCAGCACACAGCCCUUUAACCCCUACACACCCCAUUUGUGUUUGAGCUGUAGUUGGAGGGAGCAGCUUCAGGCCCCAUUCUACCCUGAUAUCAACACAGCUCCCUAUCUGACAUUUUCUCUGUGGCUUCUCCAUACUUCCAGUAGCCAGCAAAGGGAAAGGGGGGUGUCCAAGGGUUUGAAUAUGUGCCCCCAGUGACUUUUUUCUUCUUCCAAGGGUCUGUUGUGAUAACAUAAGCUACUUCUGUGAUGGCUUCUUGUAAUCUGUGCUCUCGCUAGGAACUCUCUGCCAGCAGAGAAUUGGGGGGGGGGGGGGGGAGACUGGUGCUCUAUUUUUAAUGCUGGCAUGUGCCACUCUGCAAGUCCAAGAGAAUACUCCCCUGGCCGGCAUGCUGCAGCGGUGACCCUUUUUGUGGGUAAUUGUGCAUGCACAUAGCCUGGAUCACAGCACAGAAGCUGCAUCUCUAGGAAGGCUUGGGUUGGGGUGGGAGUUGUAGGGGCCUGGCAGAGGGAUGCCAGAGGGUCACUGCAAAGCGGGGAGUGGGCUUGUCACACAGGGCAUCAGCUAACCUGUUUACUGUGUAAAUGUUUUUUGGGGCGGGUGGGGGUCGGAACACCGUAUGGGGAAGAAAGUCAAAGCCUAUUUUUGCUAUAAAUAUAACUGUUUGACACGGAA